Molecule: ribosomal RNA, 350 nt
Filed under: Trypanosoma congolense type Savannah
Lineage: Eukaryota; Euglenozoa; Kinetoplastea; Trypanosomatida; Trypanosomatidae
Description: partial 18S ribosomal RNA
Rfam family: Eukaryotic small subunit ribosomal RNA
Source: RNAcentral
CUCAGCACGUUGUUUACAUUUUUUCACGCGAAAGCUUCGAGGUUACAGUCUCAGGGGGGAGCACGCACGCAAGAGCGAAACUCAAAGAAAUCGACGGAAUGGCACCACAACACGUGGAGCGUGCGGUCAUAUUCGACUCAACACGGGGAACUUUACCAGAUCCGGACAGGGCGAGGAUCGACAGAUCGAGUGUUCUUUCUCGAUCCCCCGAAUGGUGGUGCAUGGCCGCUUUUGGUCGGUGGAGCGAUUUGUUUGGUCGAUUCCGUCAACGGACGAGAUCCAAGCUGCCCAGCAGGGCCCGCGAUUGUCCACACAGGACAGCCUACCGUCGUGGGCACGGUGUGCUCCUU